This 253-nucleotide ribosomal RNA is filed under the name uncultured bacterium. Its description in RNAcentral is "partial 16S ribosomal RNA". It matches the Rfam family "Bacterial small subunit ribosomal RNA", at positions 524 to 776 of the family's 1533-position model. The record is from RNAcentral.
UACAGAGGGGGCAAGCGUUAUUCGGAAUUAUUGGGCGUAAAGGGCGCGUAGGCGGCCUGGCAAGUGGAAGGUGAAAUCCCUCGGCUUAACCGAGGAACUGCCCUCCAAACUGCUUGGCUUGAGACCGGGAGAGGUGAGUGGAACUGCGAGUGUAGAGGUGAAAUUCGUAGAUAUUCGCAAGAACACCAGUGGCGAAGGCGGCUGACUGGUCCGGUUCUGACGCUGAGGCGCGAAAGCGUGGGGAGCAAACAGG